RNAcentral lists this ribosomal RNA (468 nucleotides) under uncultured bacterium. Its description in RNAcentral is "partial 16S ribosomal RNA". It matches the Rfam family "Bacterial small subunit ribosomal RNA", at positions 28 to 507 of the family's 1533-position model. The record is from RNAcentral.
GACGAACGCUGGCGGCGUGCUUAACACAUGCAAGUCGAACGGAAAGGCCCUGCUUUUGUGGGGUGCUCGAGUGGCGAACGGGUGAGUAACACGUGAGUAACCUGCCCUUGACUUUGGGAUAACUUCAGGAAACUGGGGCUAAUACCGGAUAGGAGCUCUUGCUGCAUGGUGGGGGGUGGAAAGUUUCGGCGGUUGGGGAUGGACUCGCGGCUUAUCAGCUUGUUGGUGGGGUAGUGGCUUACCAAGGCCUCGACGGGUAGCCGGCCUGAGAGGGUGACCGGCCACACUGGGACUGAGAUACGGCCCAGACUCCUACGGGAGGCAGCAGUGGGGAAUAUUGCACAAUGGGCGGAAGCCUGAUGCAGCAACGCCGCGUGCGGGAUGACGGCCUUCGGGUUGUAAACCUCUUUCGCCUGUGACGAAGCGAGAGUGACGGUAACUGGUAAAGAAGCACCGGCUAACUACGUG